AGAUAAAGAACCAAUAUUUUUGGUGACUCAUAAUAACUUUACGGAUCACAUUAUGUGACAUAUCAUUCAAGUUUCUGACCUAUCAGCUUUAGACGGUAGGGUAUUGGCCUACCGUGGCUAUGACGGGUAACGGGGAAUUAGGGUUCGAUUCCGGAGAGGGAGCCUGAGAAACGGCUACCACAUCUAAGGAAGGCAGCAGGCGCGCAAAUUACCCAAUCCUAAUACAGGGAGGUAGUGACAAGAAAUAACAAUACAGGACCUUACGGUUUUGUAAUUGGAAUGAGUUAAGUAUAAACCCCUUAACAAGUAUCAAUUGGAGGGCAAGUCUGGUGCCAGCAGCCGCGGUAAUUCCAGCUCCAAUAGCGUAUAUUAAAGUUGUUGCAGUUAAAAAGCUCGUAGUUAAUUUUCUGUUAAUUUUUAUAUACAAUACUACGGUAUUUAUAUAAUAUUAACAUAAUUCAUAUUACUUUUUAGUAUAUGAAACUUUACUUUGAGAAAAUUAGAGUGCUUAAAGCAGGCUAUUGCCUUGAAUACUCCAGCAUGGAAUAAUAUUAAGGAUUUUUAUUCUUCUUAUUGGUUCUAGAAUAAAAAUAAUGAUUAAUAGGGACAGUUGGGGGCAUUUGUAUUUAACAGUCAGAGGUGAAAUUCUUAGAUUUGUUAAAGACAAACUACUGCGAAAGCAUUUGCCAAGGAUGUUUUCAUUAAUCAAGAACGAAAGUUAGGGGAUCGAAGACGAUCAGAUACCGUCGUAGUCUAACCAUAAACUAUGCCAACUAGAGAUG
This 782-nucleotide ribosomal RNA is filed under the name Cryptosporidium sp. deer genotype. Its description in RNAcentral is "SSU rRNA". It matches the Rfam family "Eukaryotic small subunit ribosomal RNA", at positions 212 to 1054 of the family's 1831-position model. Lineage: Eukaryota; Apicomplexa; Conoidasida; Eucoccidiorida; Cryptosporidiidae. The record is from RNAcentral.